RNAcentral lists this ribosomal RNA (659 nucleotides) under uncultured bacterium. Its description in RNAcentral is "bacterial SSU rRNA". It matches the Rfam family "Bacterial small subunit ribosomal RNA", at positions 232 to 885 of the family's 1533-position model. The record is from RNAcentral.
CGCGGCCUAUCAGCUUGUUGGUGGUGUAACGGACCACCAAGGCGACGACGGGUAGCGGGCCUGAGAGGGUGGCCCGUCACACUGGGACUGAGACACUGCCCAGACUCCUACGGGAGGCUGCAGUCGAGAAUCUUCCGCAAUGGACGCAAGUCUGACGGAGCGACGCCGCGUGUAGGACGAAGGCCCUUGGGUUGUAAACUACUGUCACGAGUUAUGAAUGCGUACGCGUCAAUAGCGCGUGCGUUGACGUAAGCUCGAGAGGAAGCACCGGCUAACUCUGUGCCAGCAGCCGCGGUAACACAGAGGGUGCAAACGUUGUUCGGAAUUACUGGGCAUAAAGCGCACGUAGGCGGCUUGGUAAGUGUGAAGUGAAAUCCCACGGCUCACCCGUGGAACUGCUUUGCAUACUGCUUGGCUCGAGGACGGUAGGGGAGAGCAGAACUCCUGGAGGAGCGGUGAAAUGCGUAGAUAUCAGGAGGAAUGCCAGUGGCGAAGGCGGCUCUCUGGUCCGUUUCUGACGCUGAGGUGCGAAAGCCAGGGUAGCGAACGGGAUUAGAUACCCCGGUAGUCCUGGCCGUAAACGAUGGGCACUAACUAGAGGCCUUCUGUUUGGUCUCUGGUGAAGCAAAUGUGUUAAGUGCCCCGCCUGGGGAGUACGG